GAUGAAGAACGUAGUGAAAUGCGAUAAGUAAUGUGAAUUGCAGAAUUCAGUGAAUCAUCGAAUCUUUGAACGCACAUUGCGCCCGCCAGUAUUCUGGCGGGCAUGCCUGUCUGAGCGUCAUUUCAACCCUCAUGCCCCUAGGGCGUCGUGUUGGGGAUCGGCCAAAGCCCGCGAGGGACGGCCGGCCCCUAAAUCUAGUGGCGGACCCGUCGUGGCCUCCUCUGCGAAGUAGUGAUAUUCCGCAUCGGAGAGCGAUGAGCCCCUGCCGUUAAACCCCCAACUUUCCAAGGUUGACCUCAGAUCAGGUAGGAAUACCCGCUGAACUUAAGCAUAUCAAUAAGCGGAGGA
Molecule: unclassified non-coding RNA, 348 nt
Filed under: soil metagenome
Description: partial contains 5.8S ribosomal RNA, internal transcribed spacer 2, and large subunit ribosomal RNA
Rfam family: 5.8S ribosomal RNA (bases 1-120)
Source: RNAcentral